GGAGGGAGGGAGAGAGAGGAGGACGGCAUCUGCGCGGCGGGCGGCGGCGGCGGCGGCGGCGUGGGGAACGAGGGGAGUAGGUGGCGGUCGGGCAGGGGGCGGUGGGAGCAAAGCUUCUUUAAAGUGGAAUUCGAGGGAUUCAAGGGUCGAGAAAUGAAGGUCUGAAAUUAAUUCGGAAGAUGGCAUUGUUAGCACAUCAGGCGCAGGGUUCUUAUUCAACCCAUUCCUUGAGAGCUAAAGCAUUGACCCAUGAAGUGAGGUGGAGAUCUUUUGUAGCAUUUCAGUUCAUUGGAAGGAAAGAUAAGUUUAUACCAUUGAAGCUUCGGUUCCAUUUCAGAGACGAACCUAUUAUUUUACCAAAGAGGAAAGCUUUCAAAGUCUCAUCUUUUAAAGGCAAUGCCCAGAAUGAUGAACGAGAAGGCAGAGACAGUGGCUCAAAAUUUCGCAAGGCACCAGUUCAGCUCUCCGCACAACAAGAGAGAGAAGAAAUUCUGUCAGAUUCUCAUGAUGUGCAGAAGCAUCCGCUAUCGUAUGCACCCGAAGGAAGAGAGGAAACUACAGCUGGAUCUCUUGCAAUACAAGAAGUAUUCAGAAAGUGGUUGAUCAUGUUGCGCAUGCAGACAUCUAGUCUGAGAAUGGAUGGAAACUUCCAUGGAGAACCAGCCGAGAAUGUAACAUCUGAAGGUCAACAUGUAACUAUGAGAAUGCGGGCAGUGAAUAUGCUGAAGGUUGCACUCGUACACUUCCUGAGACUUGAUGCAGCAAUAUCUAUCCCAUUAUUGAUAUUCAUUCCAUGGUACCUAACAGUCAAAUUGGUGUAUGGAGUUGAAGUCACUAAGGAGUUGACACCUUUAUGGGUUCUUGGGCCACUAAUUGUUGCUUUCUAUAUAAAAAUCAUUCAAGGGCUCUGUUCGCUGUAUUUUUUCCUCUUCAUGCAAGCUGUUAGCCUGGUAAAGAACCUACCAAUUUACUCUUCGUUGGUCUAUACUUACAUUGCUGAGGGAAAGCUUAAAGCAUUUCUCUGGGCCCUCUUCUGGAAGCCUAUAAUAGUCAUCAAAAACUUAGAUUACAGAGCUCUAUUCAGACAAAAGUUCAAACAACUUGAAGAGUGGGCAGUUGAGAAAUAUCUGGAUUACAUCGAAUCGAUAUGGCCAUACUAUUGCAGAACUAUCCGAUUUUUGAAGAAAGCACAUCUUAUUUAGCUGCGGUUAUCAAAGAAUACAGCUAUUGUAACCAUAUCUUUAUGUAUUUCGUGAACGCCCAUUAAGUUUUGGAAUAACUGAUGAUUUUUUAUGACGAUUUUGCUUGAAAAAUAGUGAUGCAGGAUUGGAUAUUCUGGUAUUCCUCAUUACACAAACCUUUCCUCCUUGAGAAUGAGAUGUUAUGAUUGGGGAUGUGAUUUUCAGAUCUGAUACUUAUGGGGUACAUGGUGUUAAUGUUUUUCUGGGAUUCAACACGCAAGUACUUUGUCAAAAUUUGUGAAGAUUGCCAUGUAAAAUUUAUGUUGUGCUAUUGAGAGGUGAGGUUUUUAUCUAAUGUCUGGUGGUCCUGGAAGAAUCAUCUUCCAAGCUUUUGAGCUCUGCAGUAUGGAUUAUUCGGAUUAGAAUAAAUCAGUUUCCUAAUAUCUGAAUGAUGGCAGCAUUUUGUAAAAAAUUGGAAGAAAUAAUGUCUCUGGAGAAGUAGUCAUAAGUGCAGAGUAUUUUUAUUUG
Molecule: non-coding RNA, 1709 nt
Organism: Phoenix dactylifera (date palm)
Lineage: Eukaryota; Viridiplantae; Streptophyta; Magnoliopsida; Arecales; Arecaceae
Source: RefSeq, a predicted model, not a curated record